AUCGAACGCUGGCGGCAGGCCUAACACAUGCAAGUCGAACGAACCUUUCGGGGUUAGUGGCGGACGGGUGAGUAACACGUGGUAACGUGCCUUUAGGUUCGGAAUAACUCAGGGAAACUUGUCCUAAUACCGAAUGUGCCCUUCUGGGGAAAGCGUUAUCGCCUUUAGAGCGGCCCGCCUCUGCUUAGCUAGUUGGUUGAGGUAAUGGCUCACCAAGGCGACGAUCAAUAGCUGGGCUGAGAGGAUGAUCAGCCACAUUGGGACUGAGACACGGCCCAAACUCCUACGGGAGGCAGCAGUGGGGAAUCUUGCGCAAUGGGCGAAAGCAUGACGCAGCCAUGCCGGGUGAAUGAUGAAGGUCGUAGGAUUGUAAAAUUCUUUCACCGGGGAGGAUAAUGACGGUACCCGGAGAAGAAGCCCCGGCUAACUUCGUG
RNAcentral lists this ribosomal RNA (434 nucleotides) under uncultured bacterium. Its description in RNAcentral is "partial 16S ribosomal RNA". It matches the Rfam family "Bacterial small subunit ribosomal RNA", at positions 30 to 507 of the family's 1533-position model. The record is from RNAcentral.